This 253-nucleotide ribosomal RNA is filed under the name uncultured bacterium. RNAcentral's name for it is "partial 16S ribosomal RNA". It matches the Rfam family "Bacterial small subunit ribosomal RNA", at positions 524 to 776 of the family's 1533-position model. The record is from RNAcentral.
UACAGAGGGUGCAAGCGUUAAUCGGAAUUACUGGGCGUAAAGCGUGCGUAGACGGUUAUGUAAGUCAGAUGUGAAAGCCCCGGGCUUAACCUGGGAAUGGCAUUUGAGACUGCAUAGCUAGGGUGCGGAAGAGGGAAGCGGAAUUUCCGGUGUAGCGGCGAAAUGCGUAGAUAUCGGAAGGAACACCAGUGGCGAAAGCGGCUUCCUGGUCCAGCACCGACGUUCAGGCACGAAAGCGUGGGGAGCAAACAGG